Molecule: ribosomal RNA, 611 nt
Filed under: Pichia fermentans
Lineage: Eukaryota; Fungi; Ascomycota; Pichiomycetes; Pichiales; Pichiaceae
Description: eukaryotic LSU rRNA
Rfam family: Eukaryotic large subunit ribosomal RNA
Source: RNAcentral
AGCGGAGGAAAGAACCAACAGGGAUUGCCCCAGUAGCGGCGAGUGAAGCGGCAAAAGCUCAGAUUUGGAAUCGCUUCGGCGAGUUGUGAAUUGCAGGUUGGCGCCUCUGCGGCGGCGGCGGUCCAAGUCCCUUGGAACAGGGCGCCAUUGAGGGUGAGAGCCCCGUGGGACCGUUUGCCUACGCUCUGAGGCCCUUCUGACGAGUCGAGUUGUUUGGGAAUGCAGCUCUAAGCGGGUGGUAAAUUCCAUCUAAGGCUAAAUACUGGCGAGAGACCGAUAGCGAACAAGUACUGUGAAGGAAAGAUGAAAAGCACUUUGAAAAGAGAGUGAAACAGCACGUGAAAUUGUUGAAAGGGAAGGGUAUUGCGCCCGACAUGGAGCGUGCGCACCGCUGCCCCUCGUGGGCGGCGCUCUGGGCGUGCUCUGGGCCAGCAUCGGUUUUUGCCGCGGGAGAAGGGCGGCGGGCAUGUAGCUCUUCGGAGUGUUAUAGCCUGCCGCCGGCGCCGCGAGCGGGGACCGAGGACUGCGACUUUUGUCUCGGAUGCUGGCACAACGGCGCAACACCGCCCGUCUUGAAACACGGACCUCCUGUGUGAAGGGAAUUCCGCUAA